CGAACAAAAAGUUGGUACUGAGAUACAACUAACAAAACAACACAGCAUAAGUUCUAUUCAAACAUAAAAACACACCGGCAGGAAUAAACUAAAUAUUUAGUUUCAACUCAUAACCUCCAUCCAGAAAAGUAACACGAACAAAAUAAGAUAGCUGAACGCUGGCUAGGAAUGUCGACACAAGUACUCAAGAAAUCAGCCAUCAAAACUGACUACAAAGUUCACGACACCAAGUGGCACAUAUAUCAUCUUCUAGAUAUGAAGCAGCAAAAUAGCGACUUCUAUUCUCUACUCAGCAGCAGCAACCUCCUCCGCACCAGGAAUGACCUCGUCCCCAUCAGCAGGCCUGUCAAGCUUCAC
This 357-nucleotide long non-coding RNA is filed under the name Triticum aestivum (bread wheat). RNAcentral describes it as "long non-coding RNA (TAES_LNC003575)". Lineage: Eukaryota; Viridiplantae; Streptophyta; Magnoliopsida; Poales; Poaceae. The record is from RNAcentral.